UACGUAGGGCGCAAGCGUUGUCCGGAAUUAUUGGGCGUAAAGAGCUCGUAGGCGGUUUGUCGCGUCUGCUGUGAAAACCUAAGGCUCAACCUUGGGCUUGCAGUGGGUACGGGCAGACUAGAGUGCGGUAGGGGUGACUGGAAUUUCUGGUGAUAGCGGUGGAAUGCGCAGAUAUCAGGAGGAACACCGAUGGCGAAGGCAGGUCACUGGGCCGCAACUGACGCUGAGGAGCGAAAGCAUGGGGAGCGAACAGG
This 254-nucleotide ribosomal RNA is filed under the name uncultured bacterium. RNAcentral describes it as "partial 16S ribosomal RNA". It matches the Rfam family "Bacterial small subunit ribosomal RNA", at positions 524 to 776 of the family's 1533-position model. The record is from RNAcentral.